CAACUUGAACAUUAUGUUUUCUUUUUACUGACUUUAGUUUAUGUCCAUGUACAGAAAAGUUCAACAAAUAGCUUUUUUGUCACCUGAGACGCUUAGUGUCAGGAACGGCAGUCCGGUUUGUACAUUAAUAUCCGCUUCACAAUUAACAGAUAUACAUACAUGUGGUCUUCUUCCUGGUCGGUGCGGCAGUGACACAAUGGCGGUGAGGGCCAGUGUUGUGUUUUGGAUUGCCAGUCUCAGUCUUGCAGCAGGUGUGAGACAAAAUGUCGCCCAGGGAAAACCAGCAUGGAUGAGUACCACACGUCAACCCUCACAGUCUGCUGGUAAUGCUGUAGAUGGAGUGAUUAAAGCCUGGAGUGAGACGUAUUCAGUCCACACCGCAGUUAACGAAACUACCGCCUGGUGGAAGGUGGAUCUACAGACACAAGUACAGUCAGCAGAGGUUAACAUCUACUUC
Long non-coding RNA from Haliotis rubra (blacklip abalone), 457 nucleotides. RefSeq lists it as uncharacterized. Lineage: Eukaryota; Metazoa; Mollusca; Gastropoda; Lepetellida; Haliotidae. The record is from RefSeq and is a predicted model, not a curated record. The transcript has 2 exons.